CGGAACGGGUGAGUAACGCGUGAGGAACCUGCCUCAAAGAGGGGGACAACAGUUGGAAACGACUGCUAAUACCGCAUAAGCCCACGACCUGGCAUCGGGUUGAGGGAAAAGGAGCAAUCCGCUUUGAGAUGGCCUCGCGUCCGAUUAGCUAGUUGGUGAGGUAACGGCCCACCAAGGCAACGAUCGGUAGCCGGACUGAGAAGUUGAACGGCCACAUUGGGACUGAGACACGGCCCAG
Molecule: ribosomal RNA, 238 nt
Filed under: uncultured bacterium
Lineage: Bacteria
Description: partial 16S ribosomal RNA
Rfam family: Bacterial small subunit ribosomal RNA
Source: RNAcentral